GGCGUAAGCGCGCGCAGGCGGUCCUUUAAGUCUGAUGUGAAAGCCCACGGCUCAACCGUGGAGGGUCAUUGGAAACUGGGGGACUUGAGUGCAGAAGAGGAAAGUGGAAUUCCAAGUGUAGCGGUGAAAUGCGUAGAGAUUUGGAGGAACACCAGUGGCGAAGGCGACUUUCUGGUCUGUAACUGACGCUGAGGCGCGAAAGCGUGGGGAGCAAACAGGAUUAGAUACCCUGGUAGUCCACGCCGUAAACGAUGAGUGCUAAGUGUUAGGGGGUUUCCGCCCCUUAGUGCUGCAGCUAACGCAUUAAGCACUCCGCCUGGGGAGUACGGUCGCAAGACUGAAACUCAAAGGAAUUGACGGGGGCCCGCACAAGCGGUGGAGCAUGUGGUUUAAUUCGAAACAACGCGAAGAACCUUACCAGGUCUUGA
Molecule: ribosomal RNA, 428 nt
Filed under: Lysinibacillus sphaericus
Lineage: Bacteria; Bacillati; Bacillota; Bacilli; Caryophanales; Bacillaceae
Description: bacterial SSU rRNA
Rfam family: Bacterial small subunit ribosomal RNA
Source: RNAcentral